GACUUGGUGGUGAAAUGUAUCACAUCCACAUUGCUUGGGUAUUGUCGAAAUAGUGUAUAUGUGGGGGUUCCUGGUUCGAGUCCGGGCCAGGUCA
Molecule: non-coding RNA, 94 nt
Organism: Mycena leptocephala
Lineage: Eukaryota; Fungi; Basidiomycota; Agaricomycetes; Agaricales; Mycenaceae
Source: the annotation of a GenBank genome assembly